GAAGAACAAAAACUUUGUAUGGUGAAAAAGAAAAUGGAGAGGAAGAGCUGUGCUACUGAGAAAGCAGCCCCUUGAAGGCUCUAGAAACUGCAGUUUUCCUGGAAGGAUGCAGACAGAGAGGGAUGUGCGGUUGGAGCCCACUUCUCUCCACUGCCUGGACAGGGAGCCAGAAGUGGGACAGUCCUGGUCAUGUGAAGCAAAAGAUGUCCAAGUGGCAGCACGGGGUGAGUUAUUAGGGCUGUGUUAUGACAUCAGUUCCUAAGGGGAGUGACGGGGCUCUCAUUCUUGUCCUGAGAACGAGCAGUGUGGGAUGUUUCCCAUCUAUCAGACCCUGACACGCCAGGGGAACUCGAUGUGUGUGAU
Meleagris gallopavo (turkey) is the source of this 363-nucleotide non-coding RNA. NCBI's taxonomy places the organism in Eukaryota, Metazoa, Chordata, Aves, Galliformes, Phasianidae. The record is from RefSeq and is a predicted model, not a curated record.